GAAUGGUGUAGCAGCUUGCUGCCGAUGGUUUCAGCUCUGCUGGAUGCUCUUCCUUUGUGCCUAUAUUCAGCGCUUGUUGAGGAAGGAGCUUUCGUAAUAGAAGUCACCAAGCAGCAGGUCCAUUUCCACUGUUGAAGGCAGCUGGAAACUCAUCCCUGCUGAUGAUAGGAUGACCACUGCUGCAUAGAGAAACCUGUUCAGAACCCUCCGGACACAGGAACCAAGGAGCUGCCUGGGCCAGGAGCCUUCCAAUUUCCAUCCGUGUCCAGAGCUGAUCCUGGGUCACAGAGCUACAUACACAAAUUCUUCCAGUAGAGAGCUGGUCACCCAGGAGUGCCUACACACCUGCAAGCACAAGUAAGACUUCCAUUUUUCUUCAAAUUCCUGGCCCAAGAGGGAUGCACCCAUAACCAUCAGGACAGAGGAACCCAAGAUCAGCUAGGGACAAGAUCCUUCUGGUUUCUGUCUGCACCCCAGAGCAGACCCUGUACCACAGCUUUCCAUACCUAAAUUCCUCCCAGAGAGGAAUAGUCUCCCAGGAGUACUGAUACACAGGCUUGGAGGACAGACAAGACACAGUCAGAAACAGCAAGUUCAGCUAACACCAGAGAUAACCAGAUGGCAAAAGGCAAGUGCAAGAACAUAAGCAACAGAAACCAAGGCUACUUGGCAUCAUCAGAAUCUCCCACCACAGUGAGCUCUGGUUACCCCAACACACCACAAAUGCAAGGCUCUGAUUUAAAAUCACAUCUCAUGAUGCUGAGAAAAGACUUUAAGAAGGAAAUAAAUAACUCUCUUAAAUAAAUACAGGAGAACACAGGUAAGCAGGUAGAAGAUCUUAAUGAGGAAACACAAAAAUUUCUAAAAGAAUUACAGGAAAAAACAACCAAACAGGCGAAGGAACUGAACAAAGCCAUCCAGGAUCUAAAAAUGGAAAUAGAAACAACAAAGAAAUCACAAAGGGAAACAACACUGGAAAUAGAAAACAUAGGAAAGAGAUCAAGAGUCAUAGAUGCAAGCAUAACCAACAGAAUACAAGAGAUAGAAGAAAGAAUCUCAGGUGGAGACGAUACCAUAGAAAACAUUGACACAACAGUCAAAGAAAAUUCAAAAUGCAUAAAACUUCUAACCCUGAACAUUCAGGAAAUCCAGGAAACAAAGAGAAGACCAAAGCUAAGGAAUAUAGAUACAGAAGAGAGUGAAGAUUCCCAACUUAAAGGGCCAGUAAAUAUAUUCAACAAAAUUAUAGAAGAAAACUUCCCCAAUCUGAAGAAAGAGAUGCUCAUGAACAUACAAGAAGCCUAUAGAACUAUAGAUUGGACCAGAAAAGAAAUUUUUUUCUGUCACAAAAUAAUGAAAUCACCAAAUGUACUAAACAAAGAAAGAAUAUUAAAAGCAGUAAAGGAAAAGUGUUUGUAGUUGGAUUGGUGUUUGCCUUUCUCUGAAUAGCUUUCAGUGCCAUGAAUACUAGUUAGUAGGGGUGAAGGCACCAGCUUGACUUCUCUGUGUUCAGUGAAUUAUACAGGUGUUAUUUUCAGUAAUAGUGGCUUAUCAUAAUUGAUGGAGUGCAACCAAUCGUCUUGACAACAGCAUGAGUUGUUUGGGGGUCUCCAUGGGGCCCUUUGGCCAACAGCUUGAUCAGAUGCAAUCCAUUCCUGGCACUGAAUCUUUCAUUCAGAUUGAGAGAUGUCUUGUUGGGAUUAUGUCUCCCUUGUUAUUUGGUGAUUCCAUUUAUACUUCCUUCACAUUUAUAUUCAAGAAGCUUCUACUAUAGCAGGCUCCAUAUGACACCACAAGAGUCCUUAGUUUUAGUUCUUCUCUGCAUUCCUUCUCUUUCUCUCCUUUCCCUUCCCCUCUCUAUGUAAUAUUCCUGUUCCAGUCUCCUUCCUCCCAUCUACUCGUUAUAUAUAUUCUAUUUCCCCUUCCUGGGAAGGUCUGUCCCUUCCCCCUAGUCCCUUAUGCUAUAACUAGCAUCUGUGA
Apodemus sylvaticus (European woodmouse) is the source of this 1980-nucleotide long non-coding RNA. RefSeq lists it as uncharacterized. The record is from RefSeq and is a predicted model, not a curated record. NCBI's taxonomy places the organism in Eukaryota, Metazoa, Chordata, Mammalia, Rodentia, Muridae. The transcript is spliced from 3 exons.